Molecule: ribosomal RNA, 600 nt
Filed under: uncultured bacterium
Lineage: Bacteria
Description: bacterial SSU rRNA
Rfam family: Bacterial small subunit ribosomal RNA
Source: RNAcentral
UGCUACCUGAUUCAGCGGCGGACGGGUGAGUAAUGCCUAGGAAUCUGCCCGAUAGUGGGGGACAACGUUUCGAAAGGAACGCUAAUACCGCAUACGUCCUACGGGAGAAAGUGGGGGAUCUUCGGACCUCACGCUAUCGGAUGAGCCUAGGUCGGAUUAGCUAGUUGGUGAGGUAAUGGCUCACCAAGGCGACGAUCCGUAACUGGUCUGAGAGGAUGAUCAGUCACACUGGAACUGUGACACGGUCCAGACUCCUACGGGAGGCAGCAGUGGGGAAUAUUGGACAAUGGGCGAAAGCCUGAUCCAGCCAUGCCGCGUGUGUGAAGAAGGUCUUCGGAUUGUAAAGCACUUUAAGUUGGGAGGAAGGGCAGUAAGCUAAUACCUUGCUGUUUUGACGUUACCAACAGAAUAAGCACCGGCUAACUUCGUGCCAGCAGCCGCGGUAAUACGAAGGGUGCAAGCGUUAAUCGGAAUUACUGGGCGUAAAGCGCGCGUAGGUGGUUCAGCAAGUUGGAUGUGAAAUCCCCGGGCUCAACCUGGGAACUGCAUCCAAAACUACUGAGCUAGAGUACGGUAGAGGGUGGUGGAAUUUCCUGUGUA